This 64-nucleotide transfer RNA is filed under the name Nymphon australe. RNAcentral's name for it is "tRNA-Lys". Lineage: Eukaryota; Metazoa; Arthropoda; Pycnogonida; Pantopoda; Nymphonidae. The record is from RNAcentral.
CAUUAAAUGUCCGAAAUAGGUAAUAGACUUUUAAUCUAUUUAUGAUAAAAAUUAUCUUUAAUGA